This 76-nucleotide transfer RNA is filed under the name Dehalococcoidia bacterium. Its description in RNAcentral is "tRNA-Leu". It matches the Rfam family "tRNA". From Rfam's summary of the family: Transfer RNA (tRNA) molecules are approximately 80 nucleotides in length. Their secondary structure includes four short double-helical elements and three loops (D, anti-codon, and T loops). The record is from RNAcentral. Lineage: Bacteria; Bacillati; Chloroflexota; Dehalococcoidia.
CGGGGUGUUACCCCGUGGCUAGCGCACAUCGUUCAGGACGAAGAGGCCGGUGGUUCGAGUCCACUCACCUCGACCA